RNAcentral lists this long non-coding RNA (522 nucleotides) under Parus major (Great Tit). RNAcentral describes it as "lncRNA (ENSPMJG00000010760.1)". The record is from RNAcentral. Lineage: Eukaryota; Metazoa; Chordata; Aves; Passeriformes; Paridae.
UUCAAGGAAAGGAAGUGGUGCUCUAACCACUCCUGGGAAAGAAAACAACUGUCCAUUGCACUUUUUCCCUUCCAAAAGAAAACCCCCAAGGAGAUCCAUAAUUAUAUGGAGCAGGGGAAAUUUGAAAGAGCAAACUGAAAACUACAAAAUUUUUUGCUAUUUUUACUAAGUUUUGCUGUAAAGCUCUCUAGAAACCUGAAGGACUUCAGCAGGGACCUGAUUUGUUUUUUUUGUAGUGUUAAACAUCUGCCUUUUAUGAAGAAUGUCCAGUUCAGAAUGAUAUAAGCAUUGAAGUUGAUAGGAAAUGCAAGGGAGAAAUCCUUUGACUGGAAGUGAUUAUUAAAUCCAUUCUACAACACACUUGUUUUGAAGUUCCUCUGUUUGGGGAUGAAGUAUUAAAACAGAGUACAUAUCCAUCAACUCCCUUCCUUAAGCUGUGGGAAGAGAUUCCUUUUCUGAAGAAAGAAUGUUAUGCUGUGAAAGACUGGAAAACAGUUCUGCUACCAAAUAAUUCCAAAGAAU